UCAGAAAUUAAUUAGCACUUCUCAAAUUUCUACAUUAAAUAGGUUAAAUCAAUUAACCUAUGAGCUGUUCAAAACGUCUUACGCGAUGAGAAAACUUAGUAUGGGGUGAUUUCGGUCCUUGCGAGGCGCUACCUAUAUCUAUUAAACAAAGGAAGAUUUGUCUGCAUCCGCACUCCAAGAUGUUGUUGCACUGCUAUGUCAACAUCAUAAGGCUGUAGACUCUCAAACUGCUCUGCAAACAAAGUUACGUCAUCGUUCUGCGCAACAGUGAACUCGCAACAAAGCAAUAGUUCGAGAUAUGGCCACUAGGUGACAACACAUACCUUGAGUGAAGAGCAAAUCAAGGGUGCUAAUUAAUUUCUGACGGUAGUGUAUAUAUAUAUAUAUAUAUAUAUAUAUACACGACGGGCUUCUUUCAGUUUCUUUGUACCAAAUCCAUUCACAAGCCUUUGGUCGGCGGGGAGCUAUAGUAGAAGACACUUCCCCCAAGGUGCUACGCAGUGGGAUUGAACCCAGAACCAUGUGGUUGUGACUUUCUUUUUUCUUUGAAGGGAACAAUUUGUAGAGAAAUAAAUUUCAACUUUAUUUGUACGUGUAUAUAUAUAUAUAUAUAUAUAUAUAUAUAUAUAUAUAUAUGCGUGGAGGCGCAAUGGCCCAGUGGUUAGGGCAGCGGACUCGCGGUUUCGAUUCCCAGACCAGGCGUUGUGAGUGUGUAUUGAGCGAAAACAUCUAAAGCUCCACGAGGCUCCGGUAGGGGGGGCUGGCGAUCCCUGCUGUACUCUUUCGCCAUAGCUUUCUCUCAUUCUUUCUUCUGUUGGCCUGCUCGCUUAGCCAGCGGGGUGGCGUCAUUUGAAGGUUAAAACAAUGCGAAGCGCAUUGUAUAGCAACAUCUGAUAGCCUGGUCGGUCAUAGUGAUCACGGUGAUAUAUAUAUAUAUAUAUAUAUAUAUAUAUAUAUAUAUAUAUAUAUAUUCAGUCUGUAGAAUGCUCAGAAGGGAUACAAUGUGAAAAUGUUAUACCUUUGAAUUACAGUGACAUUCCCUUCUUUGGAACUCGUCAUAUUUCUGUCUACUCGUUUCACUCAUUAGCAAGAUCGAGCUGAGGCCACAAAAACAACACCCAAGAUGUGACUGGGAUCCAAACCAUGUCCCCGAGAUUGCGAAACAAAAUAACUAACAAAUUCUACCAUACAGCAUCAUAUAUAUGUAUGCAAGAAUAAAAGUUCUUGGUCGUGUUGUGAGUAGUAUGUUUAUUAAUGAGAAAAGUCAAGUUUAAUGGAAAUAUGGUUCGUUUAUAUGCAGAUAUAUAUAUAAAACAAAAAAUCGUAGUAUUUUCGGGAGGAAGUACAAUGAAAGGUUCAACAUAUCGUUUAGAAGUAGGGAGACAUUUCACAAAACUUUUUCUACAAAACUAAAUAAUUCUGGGAUUUUUUUCGGUUUGAACGGCAGUUUUUUCUAGCGGUGUCAUAUGAAAUUGUCAUCCAUAAUUAUGACCCUUGUAUCGAUCUAUUUUAUUUCAAUCUGUUUUAGGUUUAGUGUUAGUUAGGGUUAGUUAGGGUUACUUAGGGCUAGUUAGGGUUAGGGUUAGGGGUGGGGGAAGAAUAUCUUUUUUUCUUCACAAAUGUAAAUAAACCCAAUCUGUUUCUUAAACGAGGUACAUAUUCAUACGGCACAGAAUGUUUUUUUUACCUCAAUGGACGUCUGUGAUUGGUUGAAAUUACUGAAGUUGAAGAAUAAAAACAACAAAUAUAUUACAAACUAUAGAAAUUUCUCAAUAAAGCCAAGAGAAAAAGAUAUUUUAUAAACACAUUCUACCAGUAUACGAAGCUUAAAAUUUUUUAGUUACCUAGAAAUUAUGUUAAAAACUGCCGUUCAAACCGAAAAGAUCCUAAUUCUACUCAAAAUUUUAAAAAAUAUGACCAAAAUUUUAAAAAAAUUACUUCUUGGUAAGUCCCCGUGGCGUAGGAUGAAAGCGUUAGUCUCAAGUAUUUCCCUAGUAUUUUCUAUAUGUUUAUUCUUUUAAUCCUUGAUUUAUUUCAGUCAUUCUGAUUGUGGCCAUGAUGUUUUUUUUUUUUUUCUCUAUUUAUUUUUCUCCUUCACAAAGGUUCCGUAAAAAAGAGGUUUGUUUACGAUUGUUCUUCUUUGACCUAUUUCCUUUUUCUUUCUCUUCUACUACUCUUUCAUAACUGUAAGUGUAUUUUCUAAGUGCUCGAACAUGUGCGUGUGUUUGUGUGUAUGUGUGAGUGUGUGUUUGCGUGCAUGCGCGCGUACGUAUUUGCGUGUGUGUCUUAUGGGUGUGCAUGUGUGCAUGCGAGUGUAUGGUGUGUAUUGAUGCAUAUAUUAACUUAUAUAUCCCUACGUGUAUAUAUGUUAUAUGUCCCUGGUCGAUAUUUACACGCGUUCAGAUGCACUCAAAACCGGGUCCGUAAACCCACAGGUUUAAUAAUAAAGACGCAAACUUGCUCUAUGAUGUUGAUGACUUUCAACUGACAAGCGUUUAUGACAAAACUUUCUUGAAAUACAAGGAAUUCGACGUGAAACAAUUAGAUAAAAUUUUAAGCUCAGAUUUGCAUAAAGAGUUCACUUGAGCCGAAAAUUUGAAGACAUUUUAUAUCUGUUUAUACAUUAGGGAAGAAACGAUACCACAAUUACUUCUAAUUAAUUUCUACUCUGUGUGUGUGUGUGUGUGUGUGUGUGUGUGUGUGUGUGUGUGUGUGUGUGUGUGUGUGUGUGUGUGUGUGUGUGUGUGUGUGUGUGUGUGUGUGUGUGUGUGUGUGUGUGUGUGUGUGUGUGUGUGUGUGUGUGUGUGUGUGUGUGUGUGUGUGUGUGUGUGUGUGUGUGUGUGUGUGUGUGUGUGUGUGUGUGUGUGUGUGUGUGUGUGUGUGUGUGUGUGUGUGUGUGUGUGUGUGUGUGUGUGUGUGUGUGUGUGUGUGUGUGUGUGUGUGUGUGUGUGUGUGUGUGUGUGUGUGUGUGUGUGUGUGUGUGUGUGUGUGUGUGUGUGUGUGUGUGUGUGUGUGAUACCACAAUUACUUCUAAUUAAUUUCUACUCUGUGUGUGUGUGUGUGUGUGUGUGUGUGUGUGUGUGUGUGUGUGUGUGUGUGUGCGUGCGUUGCGUGUGUUUGCGUGUGUAUGCAUAUGUUUGCAUGUAUUUCUUCGUUGCACCAAUAUUUUAUUCCUUACUUCAAAUUUCUUUCGUCUGCCUACUUAACAUUCAGAUGAAAAUCAUGCCUGAAACGUCAAAGGCACUUCCAUUUUCUUCAUUCUUGAAUGAACUUUAAUCUAAGAAUUACGCUUCAUUUCAUCUUUCCCUUUUAUAUUAUGUCGGUGGUAAAUUUAGAAUCCAUACACACACCUACGUACGAUCACACACGCAAAUGUAGCGAGUCACAUAUAUAAAUAUAUGCCUACAUGCAUCCUUGCAUGCAUAAAUACAUUAUACUUAUAUACAUUCAUACCUAAAUAUAAAAUGCAAUCAAUUUUGUAUACAUAUAUAUAUAUAUAUAUAUAAUGCAAUCAAGUUUAUAUAUAUUAUAUAUAUAUAUAUAUAUAUAUAUAUAUGUGUGUGUGUGUGUGUGUGUGUGUGUGUGUGUUUGUACACAUACACACACACAAACACACAAAUGCAUAUACAGAUGCACGCAUAUUUGCAUUCAUAUGUACAUAAUACAUUUAUACAUACGUACCUAAAUAUAAAUUGCAAUCAAGUUUAUUUAACACACCUUAACCACUAUUAUUUAUGAUUACUAAAUAAAUUAAUAUUGAUAGAUUUGCAGCAUCGGUUGAGAUGAUAACAAAAUCCAAGUCUGAGUUCAAAUUCGUGAUAUUUUCAUUGAGGUAAAUCAGGUUUGGUUUUAAAAUAAAACUUAUGAUCAAAGUAUUCCAUUUAUGGUCAUCCUGUUCCUAUUAUUUAUUUAAUUGUUUAUUUUUAAGGUGAUAGAUGUUCUGGGAACAUUAAAUGAUAGUAUUUAAUUCGAGAUAGAUUUCGCUGAUAAUUCUUGCAAGUUGGGUGACCCUGCAGAAAAUACGUCUUAUAUUACUGAUCUCCGUCUGCCUGUCCGUAACAAUAUCUUUGUAAAGGGCGGGAAGAAAGAGAAGAAUCAAAAGGUGAGAUAACCCCUGCCACAACGUAUAUUUAAGAGGGAAUAAGUGGCGAGGAAAAGUUGUUGUCGUUGAGAGAGAGAAUACCACGUGCCUACAAGUCAUUAAUAUUUACAUACCAGCCCCAGGUAUGUAAAUUGAUAUAGCCAAUAACUUAACACUGUCGUAUGCGGUGGCUAUAUAAGCAAUAUGUUCGGAGGCAAGAGUGGGUUAAAUUGGUUCUGAUGUAGGGGCAAAACCCUCUGAAAUAUGACAUAUAUGCUCAUUACCCAUUUUUGUUUGUUUUCAUCUGAUGUCUCAAUACCAAACGUUGUAGCAAAAAUUAUCAGCGCUGGCUAAAAUUUUAAUAGAAAUAACGUUAACAAAGUAUGUAUUUACGUAUGUGUGUGUAAUAAAGUAAAAACCAGAAUUCUUGUGAAAUACAGGUAGGCAGUGUUUCCUGGCCGAAACAUUUAUUUAUAUAACCAUUUUUCAAGCUGGUAACAAGACCGUAAACUGUGUCUUUUGCUUUGAAGCUGUAGCUCGGGCCGGCGUGGUGGUCGUAUGAACUCAUGGAAUUUUCCGCUUGAUUCUUGACAGAGGUUAAGACAAGUUGGAUACUUAUGGAUAUAUCCCUUCUUGAAUGGAUCGCCGUUAAGACAGAACUCACGAAGUAGGUGAGCUACGUUUUUUCCCCAUACCACAAGCUAUUUCGGUCUUUGAGUAUUUUUUAACCCUUUUCCGAAAUUGGAAGGUGAAAGUGAUAGCCAGGCUUCAAGACAUUGAAGAUGUGGCAGGUCUCAUGUCAAUGCAUUGGCAGGAAAACGCAUUGGCGUUGUACCUCGAAAUGGACGUUUAAAUUUCAGUUUAAAUCUCAGUUUAAACUGAGAGAGAAGAAAAAGGACUGAGAGAUGUUUGUUGCUUUUCAGCUGCGAUAUACAUCAGAUCGAGGUACCUGGCACCCAUACCCUCGUGCACUCCACAGUUCAGAUUUGCAUUUCGUGCAAAGUCUGCAGCUCUAGAAGCAAAAGGAUGACAAAAUUGCAAAUGCUGCACUCAAAAGUCUUUGAAAUAUUUGUGGUACCUCUCUGAGAAACUUGUGACGCUUGCAUUUUCUGACUCAGCUGUUUCACAUGGGACAAAACAACUAAAUGACGCAUGUUUUGCAGAAACCAGUUGACUCAAAACCGAGCAAACGAGCAUCAAUAAAUCCUGAAUCAGCUGGGCAGAAACAACUUUAGGAUUUCGUUACUGCCAACACAAAAAGAUUCUUUGAAAUCCUAGAGGUGUCUUGCACUUUUCUUGAAAAAGACGCUGAAGAAUGGAAUGAUGGUGAAAGUUAUGCGAAUGCAAGAGAUAUCGCAUAUAGACUCAAAGUGGUAACCGACAUUGCGGAAAGAGGUGUACGACUGAUGGAGGAAUACACAAACUGAUAACGAAUGAUGAAGAGCAGAAACAAUAGCUUCUUCAAAUUGUUAAAAGUUACAUGUCGUUACUCACUAACAAAAACAAGAAAACAUUACUCUUGCUUCACAAAAAAAAUUAUAAAUUAUAAAGUGGUUAUGAUAUGCCUACUGAGGAAACCUCCGCAUAAAAAAAGUUAACUCACUAUACCCUGUAACUCACUACGUAUUAUAGCCUAGAAUGUCAUCGUUUUUUUUAUCAAACGGUUCCGGCGAAAAUAUCAACAAAAUAAUAUUUUUGAGCACAAACUGAUAUACAUCUAUUUUUAAAGCUUGGUAGUAACCUCUGAUUUUCUCUUUUUCAAUCCCAAAUUUCACAUAUAAUGCUUUCUUAGAAAUAUGAAUAAAAUGGGAGGGUGUCUCUCUGAAAAUUGAAAAAAAAAUUUUUUUAUCCCUUUUUGCAUCACCCUAAUACAUAUAUACACAUAUCAAAGCAAUAAAGUUAAUGUCUGAUCAUAAGAGUGACCAAUAGUUUCGCAUCCACGAAAGCUGCAACUUCGUAGACAACUCAUCAGACACUAGUCCGGAGACAAAAUUAACUCUUCACCUCACAGCGGUCGAAAUGAUCAUCAGAGAAUAAAAUAUCCGGCUAUAGUGAAGAUGGAUUAUCUCCCCUAGACCAGUUAUUUGGAGAGAGAAAUAAGAGAUUUAUCUUUUGGCCUGCUCAUGGAUCGCAAAGACUCUUCCGGGCUUAGUCAGCGAACGGGGAAUCCCGUGUUUGCGUCAUGUAGCGCUUGAAAUUGUUGCAUGGAGUAAAUAUUUCUUGGCGUGUAUUCAACGAUCCAGGUCUCAGGCUAUCUUUAAGCAUCCUUCCUCGCUCAGCUAUGCAAUGCAGAGCUUGUAGCGUCCGCUCCCGUUGUUUUAUGUGCCCGGCCUUUCUAAAAUCUUCCACUUGAUAUCGUAUGGGGUCCCUUGAUCUUUGAGGCACACGCACUGCUGGCCAGGGAUGUGACGAAUUGUCUUUGUGGGACUCUGAAUGAGAACCUGUGGUUGUACAAGCAUCGUUUGAAUGCCGUACCGGCUGAUCCGAGGAAUUUCCAGUCUCGGAUGUAGGCUAUGUUCACAUCACUCGUACAUCUCCGGGCCUGGGGAUGUUGUUUCCACCGGUGUUGUUGAGGCUGUUAUUCUUAUGACGCACGGGCCCGGCGAUGCGACUGUUGGUGCUGUCGCUGUGGCUGUUAACGUUGUGGUGGUCGUCCUCGGCCGUAGAGUUGGCGCCAUUGCCGCCGGUGGUGAUGUGCGUGCCAUUGGUGAUGUGGGUUUCGUCGAUGGUAAUGUGGGUGUGGGGUCGGUAACUUCAUCUUCUUCGGCUGUUACGCUGGUAUUGGUGCCGUUGGUGUCAGCGCUGCUGUUUGUGCCGCUGUCGCCGUCUCUGAUGCCAACGAUGAUGUUGGAUUAUCCGUUACUGCUAUUACUAUGACCGCUAUUAUAUUUCAUCUAUGAUAUAUUAUGUGCACCGGCAUAUGACUCGAUACUAAUGCAUUUAGAUGAGUGGUGUUCAUUUCGACUGUUCGAAAAUAACAACUUAAAAUGCAUGUUCUCUUUUCGUGGCGUAGAUACUGUCUCUAGGCCAUCGUGCAUGAGCUUUUUGCAAAUAGUUUCAGUGAGCUGGGGUUAUAUAAAGUGACCUAGUUCGAAUACUCAGAAACGUUCUGAGUAUCAAUGCCGCCAAGGUCGACUUUUCCUUUCAUAUUUUGGGAUCGGUAAAAUAACUAUCAGCUGGCUACUGAGUCGAUGUAUUCGACUUUCCCCACCCUAGAAAUUACUGGCCUUCAGUCAACAUUUGAAAGCAAUAAUGGGAGCAGUUUAUUCGACAGGUUUCCUCAUAGAUUUUAUCUACAAAAUUUACUGUACAAGCUUUAGAAAAAUACAAAACAAAAAAUUGAUGAUUUGUGGUGCCAAUUAGUAAACAGGAUACGGUUAGAAAAUAUUUUGUUUCCCAGUGAAGGAGUUGAUAAAGGUUUACGUUGCUGGAGGAAACUCAAAACUAUAAGGUUCUGAAAUAUACUACUUAGACUCACGGGCAGCAAUAAAAUUCGACAGAAAGUAAUACAAAAUCAAUUGCCGAAAAUAAAUGAAUAAAUAAAGAGUAAAUUCAAAUUUCGAUUUUUUUUGUUAUUUUUUUCUUUUACUUGUUUCACUCUUUUAACUGCGGUCAAGCGGGAGUAUUACCUUAAAGAGUUAUUGGUCGAAGAAAUAUUUCCAAGCGCCGUACUUCUAUCAGUUUCUUUUGCCGAGCUGAUAAGUUACAAAGACGUAAGCACAUCAACAUCGGUUGUCAAGCGAUGGUGGUGGGGAGCAAACACACACGCGCGCGCACGCACAAACAAACAAACAAACAUAUAUAAUAUAUAUAUAUAUAUAUAUAUAUAUAUAUAUAUAUAUAUAUAUAUAUAUAUAUAUAACAGGCUUCUUUCUUACAGUUUCCGUCUACCAAAUCCACGCACAAGGAUUUGGUCGGCCCGAGACUAUAGUAAAAGGCGCUUGCCUAAGGUGCCACACAGUGGGACUGAACCCGGAACCAUGUGGUUGAGAAGCAAGUUUCUUACCACUCAGGCAUGCCUGCGUGUAAUUGAAAUCAUGAUUUAUUUUCGUAUGUUAUCGAAAUAAUUCGAGAAGAUCUAGGGGCUGAAUCACUGUACUCUCUGGUUAUAAACCGAGUUAAUGAGUUAGCGGGAUUGUGUGUGAGUAGUUCGGUAAAUAUAGGAGUAUAGUCAGCAAGUAUCUUUUUGUAUAUGAAUCGCUGAUACUGAAGCGUGUUGAAUAUCAUGCGAUUCAGUGAAGAAGUUAAGGUGAAAUGACUGAGAAAGCAUUCUUUAGUUGAGUGAGAGUAUGUGAGAGUGUGUCUAUGUGAGAGUAGGUACAUGUGAAUGUUUGUAUACUUGAGUGUACUUGUAUGAGUGUGUCGGUAUGAGUGUUUAUGUGAGUGUAGGUGUAUGUGCGUCUAAUAUCUCUUUAUAUGCGUCUCCAUGUGACUGUUGGAAUGGUUUCACUUUUAUUUUCAGUCUACGUUUUAUCAGUAAGAAUAAAGUGGAAAACUAAUUUAUAUUUGAAUUAAUUAACAAAAUAAUGAAUAAAUGACGUAUAUUUAUAGAACGCGAAAAAGUUUAAAUGUCAGAGUCAGAAAGACUGCAGAUUAGGGCGAUGGAAAUUGUAAGAAAUUACUGUAUCCCAUGCAUAACAGGAGCCACCGUAAUUUAAUUGACAGAAACACAGAAGAAUAAUGAGUUCCAGGUCAGCUCUUUCGUAAACUAUGAGAAACAAACCAAAAAGAUUCAUGUAAUGUCUUUGAGUGCUGACGUUGUAUUAACAAAAUGUAGAACAAUCUAUAACUUAUGGGGAAAUGAUUGUUAGCUGAACAGGAAACUUGCGAUAAGUUUGGAAACAGCAGGAGAACAAUGCCAAGAAAUUUGAGGGAAUAGGAAAAAUGGUAAUUAUCCCUUUCUGACCAAUACUAACCUCUUUAUACAAUUUCAUAUAAAAUUAUUGUUGCCGUUGUCAUGACUCUUGCUGUUGUUUUUACUACUGUUUUUUUCCGAGUUUUCUGUUAUUGUCAUUGUUGUUCUUUUAUGUUGUUGCUGUUGUUUUUGUAACUUGUUGUUAUUAUUUAUUAGUUUCCAGUUGUCCGUGGUAGAGAAGACCUAUAAUCAAGGCCAGCAGAGGUAUGAGCAAAACAAAAUACAUUACAGGCUGUAUUUUUUGUAAUUAUAUAUCUAAAAGUACACUAUUAAAACUGCUCGUUUUUUAAAGACAAUAAAACGUCGUUUCAAGAACAUUUAUCUGCUUUUUCGCACAAGUCGAGUAAUUAGAUAGAGUCUAACUGACUGAUUCCUGUAUUCAGGUAUAUACAUGGGAAGUGUUCUGUCAAAUAGACAGCACACUUCCCACGUAUAUUUCUAUUAUUUCAACGAGCACAGAAAGAUAAUAAGCGAAGGUCCACCAUUCUACAGAAAUGUUGGUGAAUAACAAGCCAAUAAAUUAGACAUACAUACAUAUAUAUAUAUAUUAUUUAUAUUUAUAUUUAUAUAUAUGCAUAUGAAUAUAUAUGUAUGUAUAUAUAUUAUUUAUAUUUUUGCAUAUGAAUAUAUAUGUGUGUAUAUAAAUAUAUAUAUAUUCUACUUUCUAAAAAUAAGGUCUCAUUUUCCUCAUAUGACCGAUCUUCUUACGAAAAGACAAGAAACGUUAAGUAAUGUAUUUGUACAUCCUAGAUCCAUACUGCUUGAGUUUAUUUUUUCUCGUACUACCCCGUUUACCAGUUCACCUUUCUGAAUUGCCUCCACCCAAAGUAUUUUUGCGUACAGCACAAUGUAUUACGUGUCAUCUGCAGCCUUAUAUUUCUUAUUAGCCACCUUAAAAUCAAUAUUAAAGAAAAUCUAGUAAAAGCAGCAUGAUUAAUGAUAAUAAAUUUUAGAUUUAAAGGUAAUUAUUUUUUCAUUAAUGUCUCGAAUUUCUCUCCAUUUAAACAUUUGUGCCUAGAAAAACGAUAUGGUCACAGCUGGAAUGUCUUCCAUCAUAGAUAUAUUUUAUUAAUGCUAAUGAGCAAAAACUACUGAAAAUUAUUAUUUGUAAUUGUGACCCAACACAAGUUCUUUGGGAAGAUCGAAGAUGACUUAAUUAAUUGUAUGUAAAGUAAUUAAUCGUAAUCAACUGAUGCUAUUUUAUUAAUCCUAUGAACAACAAAAUCAAUUUGGGUGCUGGGAUUUAAUUUCAGUAAACAAAAGGUUAUAACUUAGUAUCUGCCACUUCAACAACUUAACUUCGUUUUCUCUUGGUAGAUGAAUAUCUUGAACAAAGCAUAUUCAAUAGCAUUCUUUGAACUUCUCAACAAUACUGUAUUAGGACGAGUGUCAGUAUUCGGAAUACGGUGAAAGCCAUCACAAUCCCAUUUAUUUCUAUCAAUGAUAUUGAGUUACAAGCAUUAGAACUAAUUAAAACACGCACAAGGAAUUCGUUGUGUGAUUGGGAUAUAAAUCUACGUUGUAGAAUUUCUAAGGAAAAAUGGCAAAUGCCGUAUAUCUUAAUGCGUUCAUUGAAGAUAAAUGUACAUUAUAACCCAGUAAGGUAGUGAACGAAAGAGAACAAUAUAUUAUAUGUUCCCAAGAACCUAACGAUAAUAGCUUUAUUUUCCUUUCUGCAAAAUGAAGGUUAAGACCCAAAAUGGUAGAUUCCUCAUUCCUGACAACAACUUGCUGUGUCAAACUAUUCUAUAACCUAUCCUAAGAGUGACACUCCCGACGUGUAGAGAUUGCUAAAUGGUUUCCAAUCCCAUUUGAUUUUCACGCAGUUAAUACUCUUUGACAAAGUAAUAAAUUCACACAACCCCACCAUGCAAUUCAUAAAAUAAUCCUAAACCUUCUUAUUGCAUGCAGCAUGUUUUGGCAAGUUUAUUAAUAUUUCCACACUUCACUAUAUAGAGAUUUUGAAAUUUGAGUUUACAAUUCUUUUAUAUGUGAAAUUAGAAUGGUGCCUGACUUUAUAUCCUACAGUAUUCCAACCGCAGAAGCAUUUAAAAAGAAGAAAAAAGAAGAAAAAAAAAACACGAUGAUUUUGCACAAUUUUAUUUCACUUAAAAAUUUUACUUUAAUCGUUAACUGAAACAAACGUGUGUAAAAUCAUGCGAGUCAUUGGUGAUGACAAUAUUUUAACCAGUGAAACUCUUACUUUUGAAAGUGCCUAAUUCAUAUGGAUGUACGUGUGACUAAGUCACAUUAAGAAUAUCAUUUUCUAGUCAAAAAUUAUCACAAUAGGAAAUGUGAAUAAGCGUUUGCAUAUACUCACACAAAACAAAUAUAAAUACAGAUAUUCACACACACUUAUACAUACAUAUGCAUACAUACUUAUAUGCAUGCAUGCAUAUAUAUAUAUAUAUAUAUAUAUAUAUAUAUAUAUAUAUUAUUUAUAUUUAUAUUUAUAUAUAUGCAUAUAAAUAUAUAUGUGUGUAUAUAUAUAUUAUUUAUAUUUAUGCAUAUGAAUAUAUAUAUAUAUAUAUAUAUAUAUAUAUAUAUAUAUAUAUAUAUAUAUAUAUAUAUAUAUAUAUAUAUAUAUAUUAUUUAUAUUUAUGCAUAUGAAUAUAUAUAUAUAUACACAUAUAUAUAUAUACAUAUGUAUGUAUACAUACAUACAUAUGUAUGUAUGUAUAUAUAUAUAUAUAUAUGUAUAUAUGAUUACUACAUUGAGGAAUAUUCUGACAACAUUUGUUACGAUUUCUCCUGUCUCUAUUGUACAUUUUAAUCUCUCCAACCAUAAUUAUAAUGUAUUUGGAAUUUUUGUAUUAUAAUUGCAUAUUUCUGUUAAGUCUAUGAACGCUUAUCAUACGUUCGACACCAAAGUAGGAAUAUAUUUCAUUUUCUAAUGAACAAUGAGAAAUUUCGGCUCCAUGCAAAUAUCUAUUAUCACAGUGCUUACAACAUGUCAUCAACUGGCUUAACAAGGUAGCAACACAUUUUACCAUUGUUAGUACGUAUUACGUCAGAAUGAAAACGAAAAUUCAUAACAAAGAAUAAAUAUUUGAAGAAAGAAAAUUAGGGAAUGAUACGUUUAUUGCUAUUGUCCUCUUUGGUAUUGUUGUGUAACUAACUUAACAUGAAAUAACAUGAGUAAAAUAGAUCUUCGUAAACAUUUAUCUUCAGACACUCAGAUACUAUUUUUGGUGUUCUUAAAUGUAUGCAUAUAUGUAUGUUUGCAUGUAUGUGUAUGUAUAUAUAUAUAUAUUUAUAUAGACGGAAAACGUAUAUGAGUCUCUUAGUGUCGUUUUGUCUUUUUGUUAUGUGUGUAUAUGCAUGCAUGCACACAUGUAUGUUUGUGUGUGUUUGUAUGUAUGUGAGUAUGUAUGUAUGCAUGUAUGCAUGUAUGCAUGUAUGCAUUAUGUAUGUAUGCAUGUAUGCAUUACGAGGGUUCCUUAAACGUUCCUGGCUUUAAUUGUGUCCCGAAAGGUCUGGUUGCAGGCCCAACCUUCCGAGUCUUUUUUUUUUUUUUGCAGGGCUUAGAAAAACCAAAGGAGUGCUGCAGUAGGUGUGUAAAUCUGAGAGGGGAAUAUCUUUAAAUAAAGUCAUUAACUGAUCCUCCAGUAUACUCUUGUACUAAAGUAAGGAUGUUUUCAGCAACCCAUAGUAUAUGUAAGUCGUGAUGCACACAUGCGUCACAGACAUACAUCUUUAAAUUAAAAUAUUAAGUUUCAUUUAUGAUAUUAAGGUUACCGAAAAUAAUUAUUUUUUCAAGUAAAUAGUCUGACAUCAUACCACAAGAGGAUAUGCGUCAAAAUAUCAAAGAUUUUUCCCGGGCGAUUAAUUAACCUUGGUCUGGUGUGCACAAUUAUUUCAAGCAAACUUGGGAAAGUGUGUAGAGAAGCGAAGAGGGCACAACAGAAAGGAUGUCAUCUUGCAACAUUAUAAUGCCAAGCCACAUUCAAUGAAGUUCACUCAAAAAAGAUGUAUUUAUUAAAUUGGGAAGCUCUACCUACAACUCCCUACUUGCUAGACCUAUCCCUAUCAGAGUUUCACUCAUUCAGUCUACUUGAACAAUUUAGCAAUGCAAAGCAUUCAGAAGUAGGGACAAUAUAAAAACGAGGCUCCUAACAUAUUUUCUCUUCUAAAGAAUCUGAUUUCAUUUUUGUCCGAGGAAUCAAACUCAUUUCCAAGUACGAAAAUAUUGUUGCUAACGACGGCGAUUUUCAAUGAAUAAAUAUAUUUAUGAUAACAUGUUAUAACUGUACUAAAUUUCAUAUAUUCGUGAGAUGCUUCUAGUUUGUUUGAAAUUGUUAAAUUCACCAUCAAAUUUCCCAGAACUUCACAACCUCAUCAGCAGGAUAAAGUGAUGCUUGACUGUGUCAUGACCUCUUACUGAAGUCGAUGCAAUUAGUGUAAACAUUACCACCAGAAUUUAAAUCUUGACAGUUACGUCAUCACUACGAGGUUUAUUCAUGAUUGCGUCCAUAUAUAUUUUGUCACAGCAUUUAUUUGCAUAUAGUGUUGCUCCUCCAGUUUUGCUUCCAAAAAUAAUCGUUUAUAUGUAACUAGCAGUAUCGCCCGGCGUUGCUCGGGUUUGUAAGGGAAAUAACUAUAUAAGCAUUUUUAGAGAUGUAAACUAUAAUAGCCAUCUCAAUAUGGCUAACCACAAAGGGGGGGGUGUUACUGUAGCUUUUUACGUUUUGAGAUUUAAUAAUAAAUUUUUAGAGAGUUACUUCCCUUAUAUAAUAGCAAAAAAAUGCAUUAAAAAUGGGAAAAAAUUAUGGUAAUUUUUUUUAAAUCGUAGACUCAUGGUAGACGUGCGCUAAUACCCAGAAGGGCACGAUAUGAAUCACGACUAUAAGAUACCCGCUUUUGGUUAAACUGCACUGCAAAAUGUGGGAGUAGUUAGGAAUCUAAAUCGUAGGAGACAGACACACAACUUCACUUUUAUAUAUAAAGAUGUGUAAUUCUGCUGAGUAUGGAUACACUAUUAUUAAUAUUUUAUGCUGUGGAUGUGCUUUGUGUUGUGUACUGAAGCAUUGUAAUAUCUCCUUUUUGUAAAUGCAUAGUGAGCCGCCGGGAGAGUGCCGUACUUGUAUGACCAAUAUCACAGGUACAGUUAAGAAUCUUAUUACGUUUGCAUUUAAAAUCGUUCUUACACAUUACCCAAAAUUUUUUAACCGAUUGACAUGUAUGGUUCAGGAGAAAGUGUCUAAUUUUAGUACUUUUGGACUAUAUCAUUAGCUCCCAUUUAUCGUUCGAUGACAUGAAUCUCGUGGUCCGUUUUAGAAUGUUUUCGAUAUCCUCAUCUAAUCUUCAAUUGGAAUUUAUUUGCAAUAUAUUAUAAAUAACAUGUUGGUUAUGCAGUGUGUUCUUGUAAUGUUCGAUUGCUUGGGCUAUUAGUAAUUUUCAGAAUGACUACUGUUUAAUUUAUGCAGUCAGUCAUAUGUAUAUCUAUCUAUAUAUGUAGUAUUAUAUAUAUAUAUAUAUAUAUAUAUAUAUAUAUACAUAUAUACAUAUAUAUACAUAUAUACAUAUAUAUAAUAUAUAUAUAUAUAUAUAUAUAUAUAUAUAUAUAUAUAUAUAUAUAUAUAUAUACGUAACAGUGACUGUGUGGUAAGUAACUUGCGUGGCAAUCACAUGGUUUCGGGUUCAGUCCCACUGCGUGGCAACUUGGGCAACGUCUUCUACUAUAGCCUCGGCCCGACUAAAGCCUUGUAAGUGGAUGUGAUAGACGGAAACUGAAAGAAUCCCGCCGUAUAUGUGUGUGUGUAUGUGCGUAUGUGUGUGUAUAAAUAUAUAUAUAAAUAUACAUAUUUAUUUUUAUAUAUAUAUAUAAAGAUAUAUAUUUAUAUAAAUAUGUGUGUGAGUGUAUAUAUAUAUAUAUAUAUAUAUAUAUAUAUAUACACACUCAUACAUACACAAUAUACUGCAUAUACUUAUGUAUAUAAUAUAAUAUAUCAUUCAACUACGGUAGUAGUUGAAUAAUAUUCUUAAGGACGCAAUUUACUCACACGCAGAACCUUUCAGACCCUCUAACUAAUUCAGUUCAUAACCAAAUUGAGAACUGUUAACAUUUUUGAAAAGGACUUGUACCUAGCUACAUUUUGGCAUAAACAAUUGAGAUUUGAUCCAGUAGAAAAAAAGUUUACAUCGAAAUUUGUAGCAACAAUAGAGGAGAGUAAGUAAUGACACCAAACAUGUUUAGAUCUAAAUAACUUUUUUUUUUUAAUUUUAAAAGCAAAAUAUAUUUAUCUUAGCUUCAAUGAUAGCAGAAAGCAUGAAGAAUUUCAUAGUUUUAUUCCCAUGCAACAAAAAUGUGUAUGAAAAAUUUGUGAGGUAAAAUAUCAUGAAAAAAUAAAAUAAGGCAAAAGAUUGGCUUUAAGUAUAAUUAAUUUUUAGAGUUCAAUUCCUGGAAUUUCUUGGUAUCAAUCUCUUGCAAUGAAGUUUUAAAAAUAAAGCGUUAUGAGUAUUAGUUUGUCAAAUUUGAAGGUGAUACUAUAGUUCAAUACAUUUGACACAUCAUUAAUUAACAUGAUAGCAUAGCCUGGAAAAAACAUGGAUUACAUAGAAAAAUGCGAGCAAGAGAAAUAAUAUUCUUAACAUUGUAAACCUAUUUCUUUACUACCCACAAGGGGCUAAACACAGAGAAGACAAACAAGGACAGACAAACGGAUUAAGUCGGUUACAUUGACCCCAGUGCGUAACUGGUACUUAAUUUAUCGACCCCGAAAGGAUGAAAGGCAAAGUCGACCUCGGCGGAAUUUGAACUCAGACCGUAACGGCAGACGAAAUACGGCUACGCAUUUCGCCCGGCGUGCUAACGUUUCUGCCAGCUCACCGCCUUAUAACAUUGUAAACCUAGGAAACUACAGGACAAGUUAUUACACUUCAAAAUGUUCAGGACUGCUUAUUAGAUCUGGUAAAGUAUAGAACAAGAAAAUUGUUAUCAAGGUAUUACACCUAAGCAUAAAAUUUGUAUAUUAAAAAUUAUUAGAUUUUAAUUUUGAUUUACAAAGUAACAUUAUAAUUAAAAAAAGGUACCAUCAUUUUGUUAAAGUAUUGGCACACUAGAAUACUUUUAAAAUGAAUGCCAGAAGUACCAACAUAGCAAAAGUUUUAUGCAAAGUAGAAUAGUAUAUAUGGUAGGCAAAUUCAUUAAGUAAAAAAUAGGCAAGACUAAAAAUGUGACGACAAUAGGCUAUAUUUCAAACAAAAUUUAUCGUGAGUUUGUUAUUAUAGAUAGAUUUUACUGUAGUAUAUAACUGUAUUAUUCUAUUUAUUGUACUAACUAAUUAUGUACUACUAUUAUCUUAUAACCUAUUUUCAAAUUUCUAAUUAUUUUGUGAAGUAUACGUAAUAAUUUAAUUGAGUUAUUUAUUAUUUUUAAUUGAAGUAACAAGUAAUAACAAAUAGAAAUAAUAACUUUAAUAAGAUUUUUAAUUUUAAUAAAAGCUAAUAUUUUCUAAAUCUAAAUAUUUUAUUUGAAAUUUUAUCCUUAGCUGCAAUGAUUUAAGUAUAAAUUUUCUUGUUCUGUACUUUACCAGAUGUAAUAAGUUGUCAUGAACUUUUCCAGGUUUAUGAUAUUAAGUAUAUUAUUUCUCUUGCUCGCAUUUUCCCAUUCAAUCAUAUAUAUUAUACACAUAUAUACAUAUAUUACUUAUAUAGUAUAUACUUUUAAAUUCGUGUGUGUUUGUGUAUGUGUACGUAUGUGCAUAUCUGCUUCACAUCUGUCCUAUAAUGGCAUUACAAUUUCGUUGAAUUAUAACUAUUACGAAACCAUAUAUAUGUCUCAAAAAAGUUGUAUCUAACUACAAUAACAUAGAAUCUGUACCACGCUUGGUAAAGAAAUCAAAUAAAACAGAGUAAGCAAACAUAUUAACGAGCGAUCGACAACAUAUGAUCAUUACAGGGGAACAUGCCACGUCAGCAGCCUGUCGGAUAUCAUCGUGAUUUUGACAACUUAAGGCAGUACCAUUAAUUGUAAAUUUGGCAAAGUGAAAUAGUCUCAAGAAAAAAUGUCUAACCCUAUUAGGAAAAUAUACUCAAGAUCCCUGAAACAAAUUUUGAACACCAACGAAAUUAAACAUAUAAAUAAUUAAUAAAUACUAAUAAAUCAACUUAUAUAUUACAGAUACUAAUAAAUGAAACGUAAAUAUACUAUGACAAGCUAUAAUGCGUACCCAAUAUUCCUACACACAUACAGACACAUAGGAAUACUAUGCAUUGUCAUACACAAUACUUUCUUGAUUUUUCUUAAAAUUUCUUUCUGAAAAGGAAGCAGAUGACAAAAUGACUUAGUGGUAUUUGUCAGUGACUUCAAAGAGCCGGGAGGUCAUGUAAAGAACUUAAGAAUUUCGCAGAUUAAUUUCUGUGCGAGUGGAAAAACAAUUUGCCAGAGAAGAUACUUACGUAGCGUUUUGUUAGAAUCUGUUUCUUUGAACCUAAAGAUGUUAUUACUAACGCAAACAAUGUACUUACAAAACAAUAUUUGUGUACAAGGGCUAUUAUAUGCGACUUUUUACUAAAAUAAUAAUGUAUUAGUGUUCAGUGUAUAUUAUAUUUUAUCUGUUAUGGCAUUCACACAAAUGUAAACACUGAUGUGUGUGUGGAUGUAUACACACACACAUACAUACAUAUACAUACAUACAUGUAUGUAUACAUACAAACAUAUAUAUAUAUAUAUAUAUAUAUAUAUAUAUAUAUGUUUAUAUAUAUACAAUAUGUAUGUAUGUAUACAAUAUGUAUGUAUGUAUAUAUAUAUAUAUAUGUUUGUAUGUAUACAUUUAUGUAUGUAUGUAUAUAUAUAUAUAUAUAUAUAUAUAUAUAUAUAUAUAUAUAUAUAUAUAUAUAUAUAUAUACGCGUAUGCAUACAUACAUACAAAUGUACAUGUAUCAUUUAAAUCAGUGUUUACAUUAAGAUUCUCUACUUUGAAGAUUCCUCUUUGAAUGAAGCACUAAAUUCUAAAAUGUAUUGAAAAUAAUUGUAUGCCUUGUAAGAAGGAAAGUAAUGUGUAUUCAAUAAUGAAAGCAUUAUUGUAGUUCUAUUUUACUUUCUGAAACUUUUAAAAUCUCUUGUUUCUUGCUUUAUCUUUCUUCCUCGGAUAUAAAGCCUCGCUGUUUCUUUGAAGCCAAGGAAGAGGUGUAAGAGGUGGGGAGAAAAACACUACCUCAUUAUUAGUUAGUAAUAAAGAGAAGAAAAGUGGCAAAUACAUAAGAUCAAACAAAAUAAUAUGUGAGUUUGUGGAUAGGUCUCACGUACGUAUGCAUGAAACACAUGCUGCUUUUUUUCUUUCACUUACAAAUCUUCCAUUUACAGUAGCGUAUUAUAAAACUUUUCGAUUAGUUUCCGGAGGGGGCAAUAAACACAUAUACAUGCGCGCACACAAACACUCAUACACCCACAUACACACACAUACAUACAUAUAUGUGUGUUUGUAUGUGUAUGUACCUAUCUAUUUGUAUGGAAUUAUUUGCAUGUAUCCUUAUAGUGGAACCUCAUUAAACCGUAUUAAUAGGCGGAGAGUGUCCAUUUAAACCGAUCUUUUAAUAUUAUAUUCUUCAAUGGUAUUAGAAAUAUUUACAUUCUAUAUUGUAUAUGAUAAUUUAUAGCAAAAUUUUAGAAAACACUGCCAACACCAUAUAGAUACCUGAUACAUUUUAUAUCAUUUCAUAUGAUAAUAUGUAAACAUUAAAAUGCUGAUAUCAUUAAUUUCAAAUAUCAUUUACCUGAUAAAUGACGUGAGAUUCAUAUGAUGGUAAUGGCGGUUGUAGUGGGAUUGUUGAGGUGGGGUGUAUUAUAGACAAAAGGUAAGAAUGUGUCAACAGUUGGCUCAUCUUCAGUUAGCUUAAUAGCUGUAACAAAGUUAUAACAAACCGGGUUCAAGAACGAGCCUAGUUUCAGUUGAUAUUGCUUCUGGAUAUUCUUCUCUGAGCUCAUCUUAUUGCUGGAUAUCCGCUCCUCAAGUGAUCACAGAAUACAAGGUAAUAUGGGUACGUUGGAAAAUGGAUACUGUUUUCAUCAUUUUCACUGCCUCAGCCGUCACCAACGAAAACAUCUGCUGCUUCUUUUGUCAGCACUUAGUGUCAAUGGCCAUCCACUGAGUCUUCUACCCAUGUCUAACGUCAUCUUCUGUGGUAUUUACUUUGUCGAGCUGCCCUCUGAAAAUAUACGAAUACAGACGUAAGUGUGUGUGUGUGUGUGUGUGUGUACGUGCAUGUUCGUACACACACAUAUGUAUGCUUGUAUGUAUGUGUGUAUGUGUGUGUGCGUGUAUAACACGUAUGAGGCACUCGCGUCGGUGAAAUGUAAAAGACACUCAGUACACUCCGUGGAGUCGAUGGUGUUAGGAAGGGCAUCUAAUCAUAGAAACCAAGCCAAAACAGAUUUUCAAACCCGGUGUAGUUCUCCAGCUUACCAGCCCCUGUCAGUGGUCUUAAACAUGCAAACAUGGAAAAUAUUAGGUUGUCCCAAAAGUUCGUAAACACUUGCGAAAAUUGAAUUUUUACUCGCCAAGUACUAACAAAAACAACAAAAAUUAUUCCUCAAAUUAAAGACCAUUAUUUUCCAAGACUUUCUACGAACUUUUGGGACAACCUUAUAGAUGAUAACUGAUGUUGAGGAUGAUGAUGAUGAUGAUGAUGAUGAUGAUGAUGAUGAUGAUGACGAUGAUGGUGAAGAUAAUGAUGAUGAUGUGUGUGCUUGUGUGUGUGUGAAGAAUUCUGGUACAACACAAUCUAGCAUCCGAUUGAGAAGAAUCCUUGAAAAUAUUGUGAAUUAUUUCUUCUAUAAAGAAACAAGAAUGGCAUUCCUCUGAUCUUAUGGGAAUCUACUUUUCGUGCACAUUGUGUGACAUAUUAUAGAUGAACGUACCAGUAAUUCAUCAGUGACAACACCAACAUUCCCAAAGGUCUUCCCGAUAUUCAUCCAUUUUACAGCAACCAUUAUUUUAUUAUUAGUUGGUGGAGAAUCAAGCCUGUGAAUCACGAGUAUCUGUGAUAACAGGACUUAAUACAACCUCACAGUUCAAGACAAACCCUAAAACGCUGCCACCACCUGACAUAGAUUUCGCCUUGCUUGCGUUACUGCUCAUCACCAUUCUUCGCUCGUAGAAGGGCAAAGAUGAAAGAUGGUAGGGUACUGACUACACGCAGCAGGUGGUAGAGAGAUUUUGAAUAUUGUUUGUCUGCAAAUGUCUGAAUUUAGUGGAUUUUCUGUCAUUCACAACUCUCACUGGACCUUUGCCUUUCACACUUUCAAAAGCUUUCUCCAUUUUAUUAUGGCCCGGUAUAGAACAAUGGAACAGUGAGUCAAAAGUCUUUCGUCUGCCUUCAAUAAAUAUCAACGUAGUGAAAGCAGCUCCAUAGAGUUAUUUAUUAAAACUUACACAUGAAUCACCAGCGACAACUUGUACUGUUUUGUGUUAUUGCCUAGGCUUUUAAGGGCAGAUUCAUUUUGAAACAUCAAUCCACUUACGUGCUUUCGUGCUGCCACAGCUCAGCUUUUUAUGGACUGCGAUGGUUAGGCUGACGCAAUAAAACUACGAUCCGUCCAACGUUCGAACUCCUGCAUGUGCCAGAAAGAUUUUCCUUCUAACAAAUUUUUUCUACAGACUGUUACAUAAUCGAGAAUGUUCUGAAGUCCUGAACGUGGAUGCUUCCAAGAAGCCUUAUAAAUAUCCUUUUGGUUGAACCAAGUAUUGGUUAUCACUAAGUCUAAUUCAUGACAUAGCUAUAACAGGAGAAUCCCAUUUACGUUGGGUUUCCCCAUUGCCUGACUUCCUUUGCUACUUCAAAGUUCAGAUUCACGUCCAAAACGGGAAUUUAUGUCUCCCAGAAAUAUAAGUUCGUUUUUCUUAUCAACACUUUUCAGAAUGUCUUUCAGAUCACCAUCAAAGUUAUUUCUUUCAUUCUUGGGACUGAAAAGUGUUGAAGCAUAGAACAGUAGUCAUUUUCAUGACUUGUUUUGAGUAAAGUUGCAACUGAAGCAUCAUUAUAGGUUCAGAGUGUAGCGGUAAUUCGAGGAGGAAUUACAACCGUGUUUCGUGGUCUGCUACCACAACAGCUCCUUUAUAGGAUCCAGUUAGCUCAAGACAUCAUCAGGAGGAACCACGUCCGGUUUCGGCCCCUACUCCUCUACCUUUUUGACGUGGCGGGGUCCCUCCUUUCGGAGGUGUCUUCAGCUCUGGUGUUGGGUGCAUGUCUUCUUUCUUCUUCUUUCUUCUCUUCCCUGGCCUCUUCGAUGUAUCGUCAGCGAGUGUCAGCCGGUGACUGACUGUCUUGUCAAAAUUCUCUCUUUAAAUACCUGCCGCAUAGUCUCCAGCAGGCAGCCCCAGCAAGUUGUCAUGUGACACUGUCUCACCUUAACUGACUAGUGAAGGCACGUAGUUUUAGCCCGUGCUUUUCCUAAACGACCUGCUAGGUAGCCGAUCAGAUAUCACGAUGAAACCACAGUAGUUUUAUGUGGUCGCUUUGUUAAGCAACCACUCAGCAUUAAGCAUUCGUAUAAUUCAAUCUUCUAGAAUUUUCUCUUUGUGCUCCAUAAAAAAGCGGUUUUGUGGUAAUUACGGAAUGUUGAGGCUGCAGUACGUUGUGUCUCUUUUCUCGCCACAUUCAGCCGAUUAAUACACCUGACUGAUAGUAGACAAACACUUCCUUCGUCACGAAUGUAGCACAAUUAGUUUCCAUGUGUGAUAGGCCAGCCAUAGAUUGCUAAAUCAGUAAGUUUGCUGUAAACUCUUGGCAGUAUGUUUCCCACAGUAUGUAAUUAUAGCUGUUAGUAUUUGUAAAAGACCAACAGAGAUUAAAUAUUCUGUUAACUAUUCGUGGUAGUCACUUAUUUCUGUACGCGACCUUCAAAAUACAUCCAGUUAGCUCAAGACGUCAUCAGGAGGAACCACGUCCGGUUUCGGCCCCUACUCCAUUCAACAACUCAAUCAUUUUAACGUCACGUCAAUUGACAACUACAAACAGCAACCACACCGACAUAACUCACAAGACAAACCAGGAGUCAAAUGCUGCACUAAAUGCGUUUUAACAGCGAAACCAAUCCCAAUUUCUAGACGCAAUUUGAUUCUCCCUUGUAAAAUAAGGUGUAACCAUACUCUCUUUCUUUUAACUGGCCAUCAUCAGAAAACUUUGUUUCUGAAAAUGUAUAUAUAUCGAGGUUAUAUCAACAAAACAAGCGCAGUUUCGUGAUAACUAAGGGUCUUUUAUUCCUGGUGGUUAUGUGUCUCACACUUCCAGCUACUGGAUGGUCGAUGACUGCUGAGCUCAUCCGUCCUUUGUUUUCCAUUUUACUGAAUGCCAAAUAAAACCCGACCUCCUUACCAAGCAGGCUUGAUAUGGUUGCCGGAUUAGUCACCGGGGACAGGUUGAACUGUGUUGCAUGUUACCAGUAGCUCUAACAGACACCUAACAUACAUUUAUUCAUGCGUACAUACAUUCAUAUAUAUACAUAAAAAAUGAUAAUACUCGUAUUAUUGAAAACACAAAACACUUCUUCCGCGAACAACAAGAAACAGGAUGAAGGCAAACAAGACAAUAACAAACCGCCGCCAUUACACGGACACAUACGAGGAAUUUACCCAUAGUAGAAAUUAUUUGAUUUAUAUUUAUUUCCUGACUUCCGAGAGUAUUUCUAUUUCUAUUUUUCAGCAUAUAUUCGCAUUAAAUAUGCAAAUAUAACUGCUUAUGAGUUUAAUCUCAAAUUACUAAAUAGUUCCAGGACAAAUACUGUAAUAAUAUUCUUGGACUCUUUCUAAGAUAGUAAUUAAAUAUGCAGAAAUAUAAACUGGGCGACUUUUUGCAUAAAUGUUUCUGAAACAAUCACUUGUACUCAACAGAAAAAUAUUGAGUAAGUAUCCACUUAGAAUAUUUGCUCAAUUGAAGGAAUUAGAAGCUAUUACAUUGCAAACAUUAGAAUAUUUGACUUUUAAAUAGAGAAUAUAGUUUAAAAGGAGUGGAGAUGAAUGUGGUGAUACGGUGAUUAUAUCAACCCCAACAGAAAAGCAAAUUAGACUGGCCAGGUAAAAUAAAGAACCUAACAAACAGUAAAGGAAUGACAUAUAACAUGUAUUACAACUGAAGAGGACAUCACAACGGCAUAUCAUGAUUGGAAGACACUAAAUAACAUGUCCCCACAAACAGCUGUUACAUAACGAUUUAGUGAAAAACCAAUUUAAUAAUGAUAUACGCCAAUACUAACAAAGGAACCGAUGAAUAAUCAAAUUAAAAGCGAAAAUAUGACAAUAAAUUUAAAAAAUGAUGUUUAAAAACUUACAUUUGAAAAAAAUAACCAUAAACGAGUAUGCUUGAUAGUAUAUCAAAUAAAAAGUGAAAUACCGAAAAGAUGUCACCCGAAUGAUCAAAGUGCUAAUACUAUACACUAAAGCUUGAUUGGGUCUUGAAGCAGCUGCCUAUAUUAUUGGAAUUUCAGUAUAUAUAUAUAUAUAUAUAUAUAUAUAUAUAUAUGUGUGUGUGUGUGUGUGUGUGUGUGUGUGUGUGUGUGUGUGUGUGUGUGUGUGUGUGUGUGUGUAUGUUUCAGUAUAUAUGUAAGUAUAUAUAUUUCAGUAUAUAUAUGUAAGUAUCUAAGCAUGUAUGCACAUCUAUCUAUCUAUCUAUAUAUAUAUAUAUAUAUAUAUAUAUAUAUAUAUAUAUAUAUAUAUAUAUAUGCAUAUAUAUGUGCAUAUAUAUAUAUAUGUAUGUAUCUAUGCAUAUACAUGCAAACAAACACACACACAUAUAAGUAUUAAUGUUUGUUUUUAUAUUUAGUUAUGAUAAAAGGUAAAAUAAAAGCAUUAAUUUGAGGGGUUACUCUAUACUUUUGUGGAGUACAAAUUUAUUCUUAAACAAGAAUGUUGUUGACAAUAACUUCGAUGUUUCAGCCAAUAAACCAUCAUAUAUAUAUAUAUAUAUAUAUAUAUAUAUAUAUAUAUAAUUAAAAUUUCAAAUUGAGGGUAAAAUUAAUUAAUUAUAAUCAAUUUCACCAAGUGUUCAGUAUGCAAAGGGACCAUUUAAGGCGAAUUCAAAUUAUUAUAUUAUAUAAAAGGGCUUAGUAAAAUAAAUUACUUUGCCGCAUACUGAACUCAUUAGAAAUAGCAGCUAAAAUCAAAUUCAAAGGUUAUUUGAGAACGUACGUUUCAAGAUUAGUCAACACGACACUUCUAUCAUCAGCUCAGAAACUCCUUGGUUUGGAUUUGAAAACACUGGAAGUGAGAGCAUACCCUUUCGGCUUCUCAUCGCUUUCGAAGAUCUGCUCGUAACUAACAGUGCCAACAAACUCAAAUAUGCAAGCGAAGAAUUUCUGUUCUCCCCUUUCCACCAGCGUGGGUUAAAAUCAGCAAACACUAUGCUUAUUUCGGUAAAAUCCGAAGCAUUAAUUAGAGGGAGAUUAAUUAUAAUUUCAACAAUUGAGGGUAAAAUUAAUUAAUUAUUAAUCAAUUUCACCAAGUGUUCAGUAUGCAAAGGGACCAUUUAAGGCGAAUUCAAAUUAUUACAUUAUAUAAAAGGGCUUAGUAAAAUAAAUUACUAUAUAUAUAUAUCAUAAACCUAAUUAAAACAUAAACUUUAGUAGAAAAAUCUGGUGAUUUUGAAUGUGAUAUUACAAAAAGAUCAGAUAUUUUAUACCAAAGCUUGCGUGGGUCUUGAAGUUGAUGCUUAUAUUGUAGGAAAUUCAAUUAAAGUACAUUUUUUUAACUCAUAAAAAUGAUCAAACGUCGAUGUGUUUGAAGUAGAGAUAACUUUUCUAUGCGUUGAUAAGAUCGCAAUUAUCAAAGCCUAACAUUCUGUUAGUGGCACUGUAAUCGAUACGAGAAAAUUGUUAUUUUUAAUAUCUUCAUUAACAUAAAGGCAGACACGGUCCGACAAAGUGGGGAAUACGAUAACAUCUUAAAUUCUGCUACAAAAAUGCUAUUAAGUUACGAGCAAAUUUUUUUUUCUUUACAUUGUUUAGCUUCAAUUCAUCGAAUAGAUGAUUAGCAUUCAUUCAGAUUACCAUACCUUUAAAGAUGUUUUGGCAGAAUCACACACACACAUACAUACAUACAUUCAUACAUACAUACCUAAAUGUAUAUAUACAUAUAUAUAUAUAUACAUAUAUAUAUAUAUAAAUAUAUAUAUAUACAUACAUACAUAUAUAUAAAUAUACAUAUAUAUAUAUAUACAUACAUAGAUACAUAUAUAAAUCGAAAAUAAACAGUCAACAAAAAUCAAUGGGAGGUACACAGUAAAUGUAUUAGGUUGUCGCUCAAUUUCGGAUGGAGAAAAAGAGGGUAUGUGUGACGUUUCGGACAUAAUGUUUCGUCAAAAUGAGGGAAGACGAAGGGUUCGGAGUGAAGGACAAAAUAGCCCAAGAAAAGCACGUGUGUAGUUGCAUGACUGAUGCGGCAUGUGUACAAGGAUGACACGCAAAUUCAUGAAGCGUUCCAUAUUUUUCGAAGGUGCAGGCAUGGCUGCGUUGUAAGAAGCUUGCUUCCCAUCUACACGUUUCUGGACUCAUUCUCACCGCAUGGUACCUUGGGCAAGUAUCUUCUAUUAAAGCUUCGGGCUAGUCAAAGCUCUGUGGGUGGCUUUGUAUGACGGAAACUGAAAGAAAAGUGCAUAUGUGUGUAUGUGUGUGUGUGUGUUUGUCUUUGUGUCUGUGUUUAUCCCUUCCCCAUCGCUUGACAACCUCUGUUGGUGUGUUUACGUUCAUGUAACUUAGUGUUUCGGCAAGAGAGCACGAUAAAAUAAGUACUAAACCUAAAAUUGUUAGUCCUGGGGAUAAUCUGCCCGACUAAAAUCCCUUAAGUCGGUGUCCCAGCAUGGCUGCUGUCAAAUGACUGAAACAAGUAAAAGAUAUGUGUGUGUAUACAAACAUACCCGCAUACAUACAUGCACAAUACAUACAUACAUGCAGUAAAGAGAUGAGAUCCCAAGAUUCCCGAUAUAGGAGGCACUUACUAACGCUCAAAUGAUUUGAAGUUGCGCUCCGAAACCUUUGCCGAUACUGCCGUACUCUAUAAAUGUUUAUUACCCAAGUUUAUGCUUCUGUAUCGGUAGAUGAUACUGUGAUGACAUAUUUGAACAACUGUUUAUGGUUGGUAUCAUCGGUGUUAACUUUACAAAGAUUGCAACGGUUAUCACAUUUUGGACACUUUGGUGUUUUUUCUGCGCUUCUAUCCCUUUUGUGAAUCAGUAUUUGGUUGAGAGUUCCCGUUCCUGGAUUGUGAACCCGUACCCUUCAAAGUGAGAGCUAGUAACCUGGCUGUCAGUCCUUGAUAGAUUGCUUUGAUUAUCAAUGUUACUAUCAUCCCUGAGCUUUCUGUUAACAUAUCCAUACUUGGUCUUCUGCUGAUAUCCGCUCAUUCUUUCAUAUGAUGAUAUGUUGCAGCUGUGUCGUGCGACGUCAUUAAUCAUGUAUUUAAGUUUAUCAAGAAUUUUGCUCGAGUAGCUGCUUUCAAAAUCUCGUGAUAAUAUCUGUUUCGUGUAUGUCAACUUUAUCUAGGGAUGCACUUCGACACUUGCCGGUAAAAAGAUGUUAACGAAGGGGUAUAUGGCAUUCAAAGUCAGUCUGGAUUGAUGAUAAGCCUCUGCCUCCUAGAUAUCGUCUUAGGCAGAGGCGGUCUCUAUCACUGUUGAUAUGAAAAUUGUUUUGUGCUGGUCGAAUGUAUGCAUGUAUAUGCGUCCAUGCAACUAUUUGAUGAGUAUUGGCAAAAGAAACUUCAUGUGUUAAACAAUGAUACCAUGGGGCAGUUAGUUCUUAGUUAUGCACCAUUUAUAUUUCUUAUGCCCUUGCAAAAUCAAUCAAGUAGACAAGGUGUUAUCGAUAUCUUUCGAUACGAGGUUCCUGAAUGAUUGAAAGUUGAAUAUGAAUACAAGAUUUAAUGUAUUUCAUUAAUACAGGGAUCAGAAAACACAUACCUGUUAGAUCCUGGUGUCGACUGAUUUGACUAUUCUCUCGAAAUAUAAAACCUUAUUUCUGUUAGUUGUCAUUUCGAAAAAGAUUAGGGUCAGUGUGCAUACGUGUUUGAGUGUAUAUCUAUGAAUGGAUGUAUGAAUAUAUGUAUGUUGUUGUAAAUAUAGAUAGGCAGAUAGAUGAAUAUAUAAAUAAAUACAGAUAUACAUACAGAGAUACAUUUACCUGUAUACGUACAUUUAAGUACAAAUGUAUAUGUGUGUGUGUGUGUGUGUGUACAUAUAUAUAUAUAUAUAUAAUCAGAAGCUUCAAUACUGCACUUGAAACAAUUCCACCUGACUCCAUAGAUUACAAGGUCAGACAAGACAUCAGCUAGUCAACAUGGAAAGAUGUUUAAUGCACCAACAGAAAAUAAAAUAGCUGUGAUUCUGGUUGGGCAAGAACAUGACAAGUGUGACAUUGUCCUCCACCUCAGAGACAGCACACUGACAGACACAGUCCAACUACAAAUGGAAGCUCACAAAAAUACCACACUCACAGCAUUCUUCAAGCUCUGUCAAGAUGAGGAAAUUGCUACAAGACUGCUAUACAAUGAAGUUCCACAAUUCUGUACCUGUUACCAAAGCAAAUGGAAAAGAUGUGCACUUGGGACACACACACAUCAUCCGGGAAUCAAGAAAUCAGGCACACUUGGCAGAGUCUAUGUCGUCCAUCCCAACUACUCAGAGUGCUACUAUCUAAGGCUUCUAUUACACCAUGUCAAGAGAUCCACAUCAUUUACAGCAUUACGUACGGUUGAUAACACAGUAUGUCAAACAUAUUGCAAGGAUUGCCGCACACUGAGAUGCCACUCUGAUAGAGGCGCAAAUGUGCAAAUCUCCUAUGCAACUGAGAAAUCUCUUCUCCAUCAGGCUUGUGAACUGUGGAUUGUCAAAUCCAAAUCAACUUUGGUACAAAACAAGGAAGGGCUUUCUGAAGACAUUCUUCAAAUAACUCAAUAUCAGUGUGACGGUGAUGUCACGUUCAAUGAUGACAUCUUCAAUGAGGCAUUAAGAUUAAUAGACCACAAUGUUCAAUCACUGGGUGGAAACAAACUUGAAAUAUGUUGUCUUCCAGCUCUUUUCAGAGAUGUUCAACUCAGAUUAGCACAAGAGCUAAUCAGGAAAACAUCAUACAACAUUAAAAUUUUGCAAGCAGUUGUCAAUGAAAGGGAACCAAUUCUGGUACAGGAUCAAAAGGAGGUAUACUGGCAAGUUCUUAUAUCUGUGGACAAUAACACUGGUAGGGUCUUCCUCUUAGAUGCUCCUGGAAGCACAGAAAGGCAUCAUUAAUCAACCUGCUCCUUGCCAAGGUGAGACAGAAGAAGAUUGCUCUGGUUGUUGCAUCCUCUGUAAUUGCAGCCACACUCUCAAAAGGUGGGAGAACAGUGCUGCCACUGGACCUCAUACAAAAUGAAUCUCCUUUAUGAAACAUAUCCAAGAAUAUAGCGUUAGCAAAGCUCCUUACAGAUAUCAAGCUCAAUGUCUGGGAUGAUGCAACAAUGUCCCAUAAGACAGCCUUUGAAGCGCUUGAUACAAUGCUACAAAACUUCAGAAACGAUAAGAAGAUCAUGGGUGGUGUCACCCUCCUCAAUACUAGUGACUUCAGGCAAACGCUGACUGUCAUUACCAGAGGAACAAGGUCAGAUGAGCUGAGUGUUUGCAUCAAGUCUUCAUAUAUCUGCCACAUGUGAAGCAGCUUACUCGUGUUCACAUUCAUUGUGACCCGUUAGUCGCACAGUUCUCCAACAAGUUACUUGACAUUGGAAAAGGAAAACUUCCACAAGAUCCAGAAGAUAGUCUGCCCCCACCUCCCAUAUGGCAAUAUGACUGCCUCCCUUGAAGACCUGAAGAGCAAGGUGUUUCCGAACAUUGCCACAAACUAUAAAAGUCACAAGUAGCUAUAUGAAAGAACAAUUCUGGCACCAAGGAAUGAUGCUGUAGAUUAGCUGAAUCUAAAUUUGUUGUCUCAGCUUCUAGGACCCGAAUGUUCAUACAGAUCUAUUGACUGUGUCCCUGGUCAAGAACAAGCAACGCAUUACUCAGUGGAAUUCCUCAAUUCACUUCAGCCACCAGGAUUUUCACCACAAAUUCUGAUCAUGAAAACAGGUGCUCCCAUAAUGCCAUUAAGAAAACCUUGAUUCACCCAGACUCUGCAAUGGAACAAGGUUCGUUGUUAAAUCAGCUAUGCUCCAUGUGUUGGAAGCAACAAUAAUUACGGGCAACACGAGAAUGUAAUCAUUCCCAGGGUACUUCUCAUCUCAAAUGAUCUCCCAUUUCAGUUCAAGUAACUGCAGUUUCCUAUCAAACUUAGCUUUGUAAUUUCAAUCAACAAAGCACAAGGUCAAUCUCCAAAUGUGGUGGGACUUAACCUCCUUCAACCUUACUUCUCACACUGUCAGAUGUAUGCUGGAUGUUCUAGAGUUGGAAAUGAAAAGAACCUCUACAUCAUUCUCAGUGAUAAACAUGGCAAGACAAAACACAGUAUAUGAAGAAGCACAUACAUGAAUAGUAGGUCCAUAUCAUGUACAGAAGUGUAAAACCAUUUCACUUUUCGACAGACACGCGUGAAUGUAUAUCUGUGUGUAUAAAAGUCAGACAAUAACAGAAUAUAUUCCCUGCCUGUGUGUGUGUGUUUGUACUCUACGCACGGCCUUUCAUUGUUUAUAAUCUGUACUUGUUUGUUGGUUACGAAAUAAGUUAGACAAACAUGUAUUUACUUUAUAUACAGAUAUGAGUUGAAAACUUUCUUUUCACAUUUCAUUUAAUGUCUAUGUUCCAGGCUGACAUGGGUUGCAGAGUUACGUAGAAAGUUUGUAUCUCAACUACUACCAGUUGUGGCCGUAGUUUAUAGGCGGUCAGAAGAUGGAAGGAAGACAAUAAAUAGAAGUGUAUCUUUGGUGCUAAAAUUCCAUUAUUCAAUUAGUUAAGCAAUAAUAGCUUUACUCUUCUAUUUCUUUUUUUUCCUCCAUUUUCUGAUCGUCUCUUUCUCUCUCUCUCUCUCUCUCUCUCUUAUAUAUAUAUAUAUAUAUAUAUAUAUAUAUAUAUAUAUAUAUAUAUAUAUAUAUAUCUGUGUCUCUCUCACUCUCAAGAUAUAUAUAUAUAUAUAUAUAUAUAUAUAUAUAUAUAUAAGCAUAUAUAGUCCCUGGUACACCGUUUACAUUGUAUAAUAAUAAUAUUAUGUAAUCUAUCAUGUAAUCUUUUACUGCAGCAUUAAAUAAAGUUCUACCGAAGCAACUAUCGCUAAUUUAAUCCCCAACUCUGUUUAAUUUUCUUAUACUUACACCGCACCAAAGAUACACCGGUGAGUCGGAACGUCGGUUAUUAACUGGAUUUGAUAUUUACGUAAUUAUGAUAUCGUAUCAGCACCUGAUAUCUACAUCGUGUGUGUGUGUGUGUGUGUGUGUGUGUGUGUGUGUGUUUGCAUGCGUGCGUUUGUGUGUGUGUGAGCCCGCGCGCCUGUGUGUAUUGAAAAUAAAGAGAAAAUGCACUGCAAUCUUCCUGAUAUAUAUUUUCGAAGAAUGACUCCAAGAACAUACAAUUAUAGUGAACGACAGAUAUUAUCCACUAUUCCCAGUAGAGGAUGGAGAACACAAAGCAGACAAGUAAAACAAUACAGCACACGGGAAGAAAAAGUGUCGCCAUAUGUCUCAGCUCAAAAUCCUAGAAAUAACGAUGUCUAUUAUAUUAUUUUAAAGUUUUAACGGUUGUGAAAAUGGAUGCCAAGCUGUAUCGGAUUCUAUAUCUACACAAUUACAAAAAGUGACAAACAACUACAAACAUUAAACAGAACAAUAAGAGAUGAUCAAUUACAUUCAACAACAAAAGUACCAUAAGUCAAGAAAUGGGGAUGUCGUAACUCUAUAAAUUAUCUGAAAUCAUCCGGAUUGUGAGAUUUCCAUUUUAAACACGGGCAAAAUUUCGAAAUAUAGACUGGUUUUACCUGCGUCAUCGGACUCCUAAUACCUGUUUGUCCUAUAUAUUUUUUUCCAUCCUGGAUGGAAAAAAUAUAUUGGACAAACAAGUAUUAUGAAAACGCAUGACAUUACAUAAAGAGCCAAUGUUAUUUUGCAUCCACAGCAGAACUCCCAUUGAACAUAUUCGUACAUGUGUUUGGAAUCACCAGCAGUAUAAUUAUUACUGUGUAUCAAUUUCCUGACAGAAUAUCUGAACAACCGAAGAUAGAAAUGAAAAAUGCAUUUAUUGAAAAAUAUCGACUGCGCUUAAAUAUGAAAACGAAUUUAUUUUCAUUGUAUUUGUAUUCAAUAACUUUUAAUUAAUUUCAAUUGCAUUAAUGAUUUAUGACCACCUUUAUACUUAUUUAUAUUAUUUAUAGAAGGAAGUUAAUAUCCAUUAAUUACCUCCCGGAUGACUGUCGAUAACGAUCGCAUCACCUACAACAGCUACUCAAAAAAUCAAAAAAUUAUAACAGAUGUGAUAAAUUCAUGGAGAUCUUUAGAAAAAGUGAAGUUACUUGGUUACAUAACGAUUACACUUAAUAUAGAAUAUUUACCACCUCGAGAAUUUCUGGAUUUUUCAGUACACACUCACACACGCACACACACAUUUACAUACACACACUCAUAUACACAUACACACACACACACACACACAAACACACACACACAUACACACACACAAAUGCACACACAUACACACAGACAAACACACAGGCACACAUAUACACACACAUACACACACACACAUACACACACACACUCAAAUACACAUAUUGCAUAUAUAAAAGUUAAUGUAUGCUUCACUUUGUAAGGUACAAUUUUAUAUCUUGGAAGCAGUAUAAAAUGAACCCACAUGGAUCCGAGUUCAGUCCCACUGCUUGGCACUUUUAUAGCCUCGGGCCAACCAAAGCCUUGUGAGUGGAAUUGGUAGACAGAAACUGCACGCGUGUGUAUACUUGUGUGUGUGCGUGUAUGUGUAUGUUUGUGUGCCUGUGUUUAUUCCUCCAACAUCGCUUGACAACCGAUGUUGGAGUGUUUACGUCCUCGUACCUUAGCAGUUCGGCAAGAGAGACUGAAAGGAAUAAGUAUUGGGCUUACAAAGAAUAAGUCCUGAGGUCGAUUGGUCGUCUAAAGGUGAUGCUCCAGCAUGGCCGCAGUCAAAUGACUGAAACAAGUAAAAGAAUAAAAGAAAAGAACAGUAGUGCAUUUUUCAUAUAGAAAGUCACACGCAAUUUUCAUGCUUCCUAUUUUCUUAGACAAAACAAGCAUUAUUGUGUGCAUGCAAGCGUGCAAUUAAUAUUGAGAACUGUUACUAAUUAGAAAACUAAGCAGUUCCAAAAAUUAUGUAAAUCAUAACAGUAUUUUUUAGAAAAUGUAUAUAAAAAAUGUAUAGGCGCAGGAGUGGCUCUGUGGUAAGUAGCUUGUUUACCAACCACAUGGUUCCGGGUUCAGUCCCACUGCAUGGCACCUUGGGCAAGUGUCUUCUACUAUAGCCUCGGGCCGACCCAAGCCUUGUGAGUGGAUUUGGUAGACGGAAACUGAAAGAAGCCCGUCGUAUAUAUGUAUAUAUAUAUAUAUGUGUGUGUAUAUGUUAGUGUGUCCGUGUUUGUCCCCCCUAGCAUUGCUUGACAACCGAUGCUGGUGUGUUUAUGCCACCGUUACUUAGCGGUUCGGCAAAAGAGACCGAUAGAAUAAGUACUGGGCUUACAAAAGAAUAAGUCCCGGGGUCGAGUUGCUCGAUUAAAGGCGGUGCUCCAGCAGGGUCGCAGUCAAAUGACCGAAACAAGUAAAAGAGUAAAGAGUAAAAGAGUAUACUCCUGAAAAAUAAAAGACAUGCAGAAUAAAAUUAUGAUUUAUUUUCUUGAUAAGUUUGGGGCGUUCACAUUUUAUUUAUGAAAAUCAAAUUGAACUACACUUGCGUCAGAAAUUAAUUAACACUUCCCAAAUUUCUACAUUAAAUAGGUUAAAUCAAUUAACCUAUGAGCUGUUCAAAACGUCUUACGCGAUGAGAAAACUU
Molecule: long non-coding RNA, 32894 nt
Filed under: Octopus vulgaris (common octopus)
Lineage: Eukaryota; Metazoa; Mollusca; Cephalopoda; Octopoda; Octopodidae
Source: RNAcentral